CCUACGGGUUGCAGCAGUGGGGAAUAUUGCACAAUGGGCGCAAGCCUGAUGCAGCCAUGCCGCGUGUAUGAAGAAGGCCUUCGGGUUGUAAAGUACUUUCAGUCGGGAGGAAGGUGGUGAGCUUAAUACGCUCAUCAAUUGACGUUACCCGCAGAAGAAGCACUGGCUAACUCCGUGCCAGCAGCCGCGGUAAUACGGAGGGUGCAAGCGUUAAUCGGAAUUACUGGGCGUAAAGCGCACGCAGGCGGUCUGUCAAGUCGGAUGUGAAAUCCCCGGGCUCAACCUGGGAACUGCAUUCGAAACUGGCAGGCUAGAGUCUUGUAGAGGGGGGUAGAAUUCCAGGUGUAGCGGUGAAAUGCGUAGAGAUCUGGAGGAAUACCGGUGGCGAAGGCGGCCCCCUGGACAAAGACUGACGCUCAGGUGCGAAAGCGUGGGGAGCGAACAGGAUUAGAUACCCUCGUAGUC
RNAcentral lists this ribosomal RNA (465 nucleotides) under uncultured bacterium. Its description in RNAcentral is "bacterial SSU rRNA". It matches the Rfam family "Bacterial small subunit ribosomal RNA", at positions 338 to 795 of the family's 1533-position model. The record is from RNAcentral.